GACGGACCAUCCAAACGUUAUUCGGAAUUACUGGGCUUAAAGGGUGCGUAGGCGGCGCGGAAAGUUGGGUGUGAAAUCCCUCGGCUUAACCGAGGAAUGGCGCUCAAAACUACCGUGCUUGAGGAAGACAGAGGUGAGCGGAACUUAGGGUGGAGCGGUGAAAUGCGUUGAUAUCCUAAGGAACACCGGUGGCGAAAGCGGCUCACUGGGUCUUUUCUGACGCUGAGGCACGAAAGCCAGGGUAGCGAACGGG
Molecule: ribosomal RNA, 253 nt
Filed under: uncultured bacterium
Lineage: Bacteria
Also listed under: 1 other name
Description: partial 16S ribosomal RNA
Rfam family: Bacterial small subunit ribosomal RNA
Source: RNAcentral